This 343-nucleotide ribosomal RNA is filed under the name uncultured bacterium. RNAcentral describes it as "bacterial SSU rRNA". It matches the Rfam family "Bacterial small subunit ribosomal RNA", at positions 29 to 371 of the family's 1533-position model. The record is from RNAcentral.
AGUGAACGCUGGCGGCAUGCCUAACACAUGCAAGUCGAACGGUAACAGGCCCGCAAGGGUGCUGACGAGUGGCGGACGGGUGAGGAAUACAUCGGAAUUUGCCCAGUCGUGGGGGAUAACGUAGGGAAACUUACGCUAAUACCGCAUACGACCUAACGGUGAAAGCGGGGGACUCGCAAGAGCCUCGCGCGGAUGGAUAAGCCGAUGUCGGAUUAGCUAGUUGGCGGGGUAAGAGCCCACCAAGGCGACGAUCCGUAGCUGGUCUGAGAGGAUGAUCAGCCACACUGGGACUGAGACACGGCCCAGACUCCUACGGGAGGCAGCAGUGGGGAAUAUUGGACAA